GUGCGGGCGAUACGGGCAGACUUGAGUACUGCAGGGGAGACUGGAAUUCCUGGUGUAGCGGUGGAAUGCGCAGAUAUCAGGAGGAACACCGGUGGCGAAGGCGGGUCUCUGGGCAGUAACUGACGCUGGGGAGCGAAAGCGUGGGGAGCGAACAGGAUUAGAUACCCUGGUAGUCCACGCCGUAAACGGUGGGUACUAGGUGUGGGUUUCCUUCCUUGGGAUCCGUGCCGUAGCUAACGCAUUAAGUACCCCGCCUGGGGAGUACGGCCGCAAGGCUAAAACUCAAAGAAAUUGACGGGGGCCCGCACAAGCGGCGGAGCAUGUGGAUUAAUUCGAUGCAACGCGAAGAACCUUACCUGGGUUUGACAUGCACAGGACGCCAGUAGAGAUAUUGGUUCCCUUGUGGCCUGUGUGCAGGUGGUGCAUGGCUGUCGUCAGCUCGUGUCGUGAGAUGUUGGGUUAAGUCCCGCAACGAGCGCAACCCUUGUCCUAUGUUGCCAGCGGGUUAUGCCGGGGACUCGUAGGAGACUGCCGGGGUCAACAUCGGAGGAAGGUGGGGAAGACGUCAAGUCAUCAUGCCCCUUAUGUCCAGGGCUUCACACAUGCUACAAUGGCCGGUACAAAGGGCUGCGAUGCCGUGAGGUGGAGCGAAUCCUUUCAAAGCCGGUCUCAGUUCGGAUC
RNAcentral lists this ribosomal RNA (681 nucleotides) under uncultured bacterium. RNAcentral describes it as "bacterial SSU rRNA". It matches the Rfam family "Bacterial small subunit ribosomal RNA", at positions 621 to 1299 of the family's 1533-position model. The record is from RNAcentral.